This 253-nucleotide ribosomal RNA is filed under the name uncultured bacterium. Its description in RNAcentral is "partial 16S ribosomal RNA". It matches the Rfam family "Bacterial small subunit ribosomal RNA", at positions 524 to 776 of the family's 1533-position model. The record is from RNAcentral.
UACAGAGGGUGCAAGCGUUGCUCGGAAUUAUUGGGCGUAAAGGGUAGGUAGGUGGUCUCAUUUGUCUGGGGUGAAAUCCUUGGGCUUAACUCAAGAAGUGCCCCAGAAACGGUGAGACUGGAGUCCUGGAGAGGGUCGUGGAAUUCCCGGUGUAGCGGUGAAAUGCGUAGAGAUCGGGAGGAACACCAGAGGCGAAGGCGGCGACCUGGACAGGUACUGACACUCAACUACGAAAGCGUGGGGAGCAAACAGG